AUGAGGUCAUCUCAUCCCUUUCUGCAAAGCUGGUGGCUCCUGGCAGCUGCAGGAGUUGCAUCUCCCCUCCAUUCUCAAGGAAGUGCAGGGAUCCAGGAAGCUCCUCUGGGUGAUGGGAACAGAGGUCUCUUAACAGGCUACCUAAAAAAUUCACUGCUGCUCACUGCAAACUGGAGAAAAGUGUGCCUCAUUCAUCACUGCACUUCUGCCCAGCCAAGGCAAUGUGACACCACUGAAAACAGCUGGGAUGGAGAUGGAAUAGAGCUUCAGUGAAUCAACGAAGAGAAUAAACUGUCACAUUGCUGCA
This 307-nucleotide long non-coding RNA is filed under the name Numida meleagris (helmeted guineafowl). Its description in RNAcentral is "lncRNA (ENSNMEG00000010562.1)". The record is from RNAcentral. Lineage: Eukaryota; Metazoa; Chordata; Aves; Galliformes; Numididae.